RNAcentral lists this ribosomal RNA (691 nucleotides) under uncultured bacterium. RNAcentral describes it as "bacterial SSU rRNA". It matches the Rfam family "Bacterial small subunit ribosomal RNA", at positions 8 to 694 of the family's 1533-position model. The record is from RNAcentral.
AGAGUUUGAUCCUGGCUCAGAUUGAACGCUGGCGGCAUGCCUUACACAUGCAAGUCGAACGGCAGCGGGGACUUUGGUCCGCCGGCGAGUGGCGAACGGGUGAGUAAAGUAUCGGAACGUACCUUUCAGUGGGGGAUAACGUAGCGAAAGUUACGCUAAUACCGCAUAUUCUGUGAGCAGGAAAGCAGGGGAUCGCAAGACCUUGCGCUGAUUGAGCGGCCGAUAUCAGAUUAGCUAGUUGGUGGGGUAAAGGCCUACCAAGGCGACGAUCUGUAGCGGGUCUGAGAGGAUGAUCCGCCACACUGGAACUGAGACACGGUCCAGACUCCUACGGGAGGCAGCAGUGGGGAAUUUUGGACAAUGGGGGCAACCCUGAUCCAGCCAUGCCGCGUGAGUGAAGAAGGCCUUCGGGUUGUAAAGCUCUUUCGGCCGGGAAGAAAUCGCAUAGGUUAAUACCCUGUGUGGAUGACGGUACCGGAAUAAGAAGCACCGGCUAACUACGUGCCAGCAGCCGCGGUAAUACGUAGGGUGCGAGCGUUAAUCGGAAUUACUGGGCGUAAAGCGUGCGCAGGCGGUUUAGUAAGACAGGCGUGAAAUCCCCGGGCUCAACCUGGGAACUGCGCUUGUGACUGCUAAGCUAGAGUACGGCAGAGGGGGGUGGAAUUCCACGUGUAGCGGUGAAAUGCGUAGA